Rhinolophus ferrumequinum (greater horseshoe bat) is the source of this 107-nucleotide small nuclear RNA. Lineage: Eukaryota; Metazoa; Chordata; Mammalia; Chiroptera; Rhinolophidae. The record is from Ensembl.
GUGCUCACUUUGGUACCAUGUUUAUUAAAAUUGUAAUGUUACAGGGAAGAUUGGCAUGGUUUCUGCACAAGGAUGACAGGGAAAUCCUUGAAGCAUUCCGUAGUUUU